GCGGGUGUGGUGUAUGGAACAUAGCUGCAGGUAGUGAUGAGGCACCAAACCUCAUGUAGCUAAUCCGGGUUCGAUUCCCGGCACCCGCA
Mycena leptocephala is the source of this 89-nucleotide non-coding RNA. The record is from the annotation of a GenBank genome assembly. Lineage: Eukaryota; Fungi; Basidiomycota; Agaricomycetes; Agaricales; Mycenaceae.